RNAcentral lists this ribosomal RNA (254 nucleotides) under uncultured bacterium. RNAcentral describes it as "partial 16S ribosomal RNA". It matches the Rfam family "Bacterial small subunit ribosomal RNA", at positions 524 to 776 of the family's 1533-position model. The record is from RNAcentral.
CACGUAGGGGGCAAGCGUUGUCCGGAUUUAUUGGGCGUAAAGAGCUCGUAGGCGGCUUGGUAAGUCGGGUGUGAAACCUCCAGGCUCAACCUGGAGACGCCACUCGAUACUGCUAUGGCUAGAGUCCGGUAGGGGAGCGUGGAAUUCCUGGUGUAGCGGUGAAAUGCGCAGAUAUCAGGAGGAACACCAGCGGCGAAGGCGGCGCUCUGGGCCGGAACUGACGCUGAGGAGCGAAAGCAUGGGGAGCGAACAGG